This 253-nucleotide ribosomal RNA is filed under the name uncultured bacterium. RNAcentral's name for it is "partial 16S ribosomal RNA". It matches the Rfam family "Bacterial small subunit ribosomal RNA", at positions 524 to 776 of the family's 1533-position model. The record is from RNAcentral.
UACAGAGGGGGCAAGCGUUGUUCGGAAUUACUGGGCGUAAAGGGCGCGUAGGCGGCCUUCUAAGUCGAACGUGAAAUCCCCGGGCUCAACCCGGGAACUGCGUCCGAUACUGGAAGGCUUGAAUCCGGGAGAGGGAUGCGGAAUUCCAGGUGUAGCGGUGAAAUGCGUAGAUAUCGGGAGGAACACCUGUGGCGAAAGCGGCGCACUGGACCACAACUGACGCUGAGGCGCGAAAGCUAGGGGAGCAAACAGG